This 735-nucleotide ribosomal RNA is filed under the name uncultured Bacteroidota bacterium. RNAcentral's name for it is "bacterial SSU rRNA". It matches the Rfam family "Bacterial small subunit ribosomal RNA", at positions 60 to 796 of the family's 1533-position model. Lineage: Bacteria; Pseudomonadati; Bacteroidota. The record is from RNAcentral.
AGUCGAGGGGUAUAGUUCUUCGGAACUAGAGACCGGCGCACGGGUGCGUAACGCGUAUGCAAUCUACCUUUCACAGAGGGAUAGCCCAGAGAAAUUUGGAUUAAUACCUCAUAGUAUAAUGAGUUGGCAUCAACACAUUAUUAAAGUCACAACGGUGAAAGAUGAGCAUGCGUCCCAUUAGCUAGAUGGUAAGGUAACGGCUUACCAUGGCUACGAUGGGUAGGGGUCCUGAGAGGGAGAUCCCCCACACUGGUACUGAGACACGGACCAGACUCCUACGGGAGGCAGCAGUGAGGAAUAUUGGACAAUGGGCGCAAGCCUGAUCCAGCCAUGCCGCGUGCAGGAUGACGGUCCUAUGGAUUGUAAACUGCUUUUGUACAGGAAGAAACACUGGUUCGUGAACCAGCUUGACGGUACUGUAAGAAUAAGGAUCGGCUAACUCCGUGCCAGCAGCCGCGGUAAUACGGAGGAUCCAAGCGUUAUCCGGAAUCAUUGGGUUUAAAGGGUCCGUAGGCGGUUUAGUAAGUCAGUGGUGAAAGCCCAUCGCUCAACGGUGGAACGGCCAUUGAUACUGCUAAACUUGAAUUAUUAGGAAGUAACUAGAAUGUGUAGUGUAGCGGUGAAAUGCUUAGAGAUUACAUGGAAUACCAAUUGCGAAGGCAGGUUACUACUAAUGGAUUGACGCUGAUGGACGAAAGCGUGGGUAGCGAACAGGAUUAGAUACCCUGGUAGUCC